GCGGUAUGCUUAACACAUGCAAGUCGAACGGUAGCAGGCCUUCGGGCGCUGACGAGUGGCGGACGGGUGAGUAAUGCAUAGGAAUCUGCCUAUUAGUGGGGGAUAACGUGGGGAAACUCACGCUAAUACCGCAUACGACCUACGGGUGAAAGCUGGGGACCUUCGGGCCUGGCGCUAAUAGAUGAGCCUAUGUUGGAUUAGCUAGUUGGUAGGGUAAAGGCCUACCAAGGCGACGAUCCAUAGCUGGUCUGAGAGGAUGAUCAGCCACACUGGGACUGAGACACGGCCCAGACUCCUACGGGAGGCAGCAGUGGGGAAUAUUGGACAAUGGGCGAAAGCCUGAUCCAGCAAUACCGCGUGUGUGAAGAAGGCCUGAGGGUUGUAAAGCACUUUCAAUGGGAAGGAAUACCUACCGGUUAAUACCCGGUAGACUGACAUUACCCAUACAAGAAGCACCGGCUAACUCCGUGCCA
This 473-nucleotide ribosomal RNA is filed under the name uncultured Methylomonas sp. RNAcentral describes it as "bacterial SSU rRNA". It matches the Rfam family "Bacterial small subunit ribosomal RNA", at positions 39 to 510 of the family's 1533-position model. Lineage: Bacteria; Pseudomonadati; Pseudomonadota; Gammaproteobacteria; Methylococcales; Methylococcaceae. The record is from RNAcentral.